GAUGAACGCUGGCGGCGUGCCUAAUACAUGCAAGUCGAGCGAACGGACGAUAAGCUUGCUUCUCUGAUGUUAGCGGCGGACGGGUGAGUAACACGUGGAUAACCUACCUAUAAGACUGGGAUAACUUCGGGAAACCGGAGCUAAUACCGGAUCAUAUUUUGAACCGCAUGGUUCAAAAGUGAAAGACGGUCUUGCUGUCACUUUUAGAUGGAUCCGCGCUGCAUUAGCUAGUUGGUAAGGUAACGGCUUACCAAGGCAACGAUGCAUAGCCGACCUGAGAGGGUGAUCGGCCACACUGGAACUGAGACACGGUCCAGACUCCUACGGGAGGCAGCAGUAGGGAAUCUUCCGCAAUGGGCGAAAGCCUGACGGAGCAACGCCGCGUGAGUGAUGAAGGUCUUCGGAUCGUAAAACUCUGUUAUUAGGGAAGAACAUAUGUGUAAGUAACUGUGCACAUCUUGACGGUACCUAAUCAGAAAGCCACGGCUAACUACGUG
Molecule: ribosomal RNA, 497 nt
Filed under: uncultured bacterium
Lineage: Bacteria
Description: partial 16S ribosomal RNA
Rfam family: Bacterial small subunit ribosomal RNA
Source: RNAcentral